UAAAAACUUAUUUAUUUUAGGUAGUAACAGAUUUCUUGAAACCUAAAGAAUUUGGCGGUAUUUUAAAUAAUUAGAGGAACCUGUUAAAUAAAUGAUAAUCCACAACAUAUCUUACCUUAAUUGAGUUUGUAUACCGUUGUUUUCAGAUUAUAUUUAAAAAUCAUAAUCAAAAUUAAUUAAUUUUCGUAAAUCAAAUCAAGGUGCAACAUAUUUGGGUCUUAAUGGGUUACAAUAUAUUUAUAUAAACGGAUUAAUUAUGAAAAUGUUUUUGAAGGCGGAUUUAAAAGUAAUUUAAAAUUAAAAUGUUUAGAUGAAUAAAAAUUUAAAAUAUGC
This 333-nucleotide ribosomal RNA is filed under the name Brachistosternus donosoi. Its description in RNAcentral is "partial 12S small subunit ribosomal RNA". Lineage: Eukaryota; Metazoa; Arthropoda; Arachnida; Scorpiones; Bothriuridae. The record is from RNAcentral.